This 261-nucleotide ribosomal RNA is filed under the name uncultured archaeon. RNAcentral describes it as "partial 16S ribosomal RNA". It matches the Rfam family "Archaeal small subunit ribosomal RNA", at positions 748 to 1009 of the family's 1478-position model. The record is from RNAcentral.
CAGCCGUAAACUAUGCUCGCUAGGUGUCAGGCAUGGCGCGACCGUGUCUGGUGCCGCAGGGAAGCCGUGAAGCGAGCCACCUGGGAAGUACGGCCGCAAGGCUGAAACUUAAAGGAAUUGGCGGGGGAGCACAACAACGGGUGGAGCCUGCGGUUUAAUUGGACUCAACGCCGGACAACUCACCGGGGACGACAGCAAUAUGUAGGCCGGGCUGAAGACCUUGCCUGAAUCGCUGAGAGGAGGUGCAUGGCGUAGACGUCU